CACCUAGAACUGGCAUCACAACUCAUGAACUGUCAAAGAUUACUACAAAUAAGGGUCUGAAUGAAAAGUUUACAUCUGUCUUGGUAGUAGAUAAAAAGGAAAUAAAAUGAAAUAGAAAGGGGCGUCAGGGCCUACGGACUCCUGCAGGACUACCUUGGGUCUCCAGUGUGCAAUGAUAGCAACCAACCUCGCGAUCAGCCACUAGCUCCAAAAUCUGCACAGAAAGUGCAAAGUGCAGUAUCAGUAUACCCGACCCCAUGUACUGGUAAGUGCCGAGCCUAACCUCGAUGAAGUAGUGAUGAUGCUAUGACGGGGCAUACAACAUAUACAAGCUGCAACAGUUUAUGAUAAACAAAAAGGAAAUACGAAGUGUAUAAAGCAAUAACUGGCAUUAGGUAAAUCCGGAAUCCAACUAUUCCACUAAUGUUUUAGCUAUAACUAAUCCUUAAGGGUGUUCCAGCAUCACAAUAACAGACCUCAACAGAUAUGAACACAUAACAACAACUGAAGCGGGGCGCAUCCUAAUCCCAUCAUAUAAACAACAACCAAAUCAAUAUUCACUUUUAUUCCUCCUUGUUGCGGCGUGUAACCCGAUCCCACUUGUCCACCCUUAUUACUCAUCAACACAUAUCACCCUUAUUCCUCCUGUUAUGGCGUGCAACUCAUUCCCACCUGUCCUCCCUUAUUACUCUUUGUUGCGGCGUGCAACCCGAUCCCAUCAUAUAAUACUAUUGCGGUGUCAAGAAAAAGUUGAAUUUCUUGAUUCCAUUCUUUACUGCAAGAAUUUCCUUGAAAGUGAAGUGAUAAUGCUGCUCGGUAUCUUUUAACUUUCCGCUGGCAUAUCCGCAUAUGUUUCUCUGGCCAUCUUUUUCUGCAAAUAGAAUGGCACUCCAAUAUUUAUUGUUGGCAUCAGUUUGUAGUAUCUUCUUACCAUCUGAAGGGAUGUAGAGGGACUUGACAUUUUUAGAUAUAUCUUUUAUUUCUCUGACUGCUUCAUCCUGUUUCUCUCCCCAUGAUGGAGCAUUUUUCUUGAGAUUUUCUGCGAGUGGUGAAAUGCAUGUAGAGAUAUUUGGGAUGAAAUCUCUUACAUAAUUUAUUACACCCAAGAAUUGUUGGAUCCGCUUUGUUGUAAGGAUGGUAUCCAAAAAUUUGAGUAAUUUCGAACAUAUAUGUGGUCCUGGACUGUAUUCACCUUGGACAAAAUGCAUUCCGAGAAAAUAGAACUCCUUUUGAGCAAGAACCAUCUUUUUUGCUGAAAGCAUGAUCCCGUACUGUGUUAUCAAUGCCUCAAUUGACGAAGCAAGUUGACAUGUUCUUCCAAUAUAUCACUAAAUAACAGGAUGUCAUCAAUGUAAACUAAGGAGGUAUGGAGGAUGAGUUGGAAUAUUUAUCAUGGCUUUUUGGAAUAAAGAGGGUGCAGUUUUUAAUCCGAAUGGCAUGACUUUCCAUUGGAAGUGAUGAUCGGGGAUGCAAAAUUUCAUUUUGGGUCUUUCUUUAAGGUAGAUUCCAAAUUGCCAAAAUCCAGAUUUUAGAUCAAAUUUGGAAAAAUAUUUGGCCUUGGCUUAGCAGGAGAAAAGAGUGAGUUUCUUUGGGAUUAAGAAUUUAUCAUCUUGGAGGAAGUGGUUAAGUGGCUGGUAGUUAAUAACUAACUUGAGUUUUCCACUUGUCUUCUCAGCUCUUUUGUUGACAUAAAAUGCUUCACAUGCCCAUUGUCACACCUCCUUUUUACUGCACCAAAAGUUCUGGGUUAUGGUCCUCAGCAGAGUUGUCAGAGCUGUCACACAUCCUUUUGACCACCCGAGGGGGAUAUAAGGGAGUUUUUCAAUUAAAGUGACAUUAAUCGAAAUAGAAUUAUUUUAUUUAAUUUAUCAGAAUCGCUACUUGGGAUAAUUAUUUGGUGUCCCAAUUAACCGAUUUAUUUUAAAAUCCCAAAUCGAGGAAAUUUAAUUAUUUUUAAAAAGUCUGUGAACCAGAAAUUCUAAGUAAGGAAUUCUGUUAACCCGGGAGAAGGUGUUAAGCAUUCUCGAGCUUCGUGGUUCUAGCACGGUCGCUUAAACUAUUAAUAUUGGUCUAUUAUCUGAUUUACUACAUGUUUUAAACAUAUUGUGCAUUUUUAAUUUUAUAGCCUCUUUUAAUUACUUUAAACUGCUUUUAGAAUUUAUGGAAUUAUUUUUUGAACAAGUUACGAUUGUCGUACACUUGCCGUUUUGGAACACACCACAAAUCACGCUACAUGAAAUGCACCCACGAUUCGCGAUACGUUUAUUUUUAUUAAUAUUCAAAGUUUUUAUGAUCGGGUUACAUGAAAUGCACCCCCGAAUUUUGGAACUAGGCAUCGUAACUAUGUCACGACAACCGUACCCAUAGUCACGAUGAUUUAUUAAUCGCGCCUAAAGCAACUAGCGCGUGUAAAAAAGGGUGUUUUUCUAUACUAAGUUUAUAUUAAUGUGAGGGCCAUACCUUAUAGAUUUUUAUUUGUGUAUGGCACACCUAAAAUUAUUUUAAGAAAAAGUUUAUAUAUUUUUCUUCUAAGGCAAACUAAAGAUGCUCCUACUUUAAUCUAAUUUGGCAUCACAUGUCACGGGAAUCGUACCCGUAGUUGUAAUAAUUUACAAAAAAAAAAGAAGAAGCCAAGUUCGCAAGAUUUCUCUCCAAAAAUUUCAACUACUUCCUACUUUCCAUUUUAGUGCAUCCCAGAUUGUUAACCACUUUCUUAACUAUAGCAAGUUUUAAUUCCUCCACUAUUCAAACUAAUAUAAAAUAAUACCCUUUACAUUGGAUCAACUUUGAGCUGACACCUCUAUACCUUUAUGCUCCUUGAUAAUCAACCAAGGUAAAAAUCAAAAUGAGACAAAUUUGACUCGAAUCUUUUCCUUUGGUUUGUUCCUUUAGCUUCACAGACCCCGACAUCGAUUAUAGAAGCAGGGGUUCCUUUCUUCUAAGAGUAGAAGCAAAAUGAAAGCUCCACUGUUUUCUUUUUCUUUUCACUUCAUUUGUUUUAUUUGUUGGAGGAUUUUGUUGAAAGUGUAUUAUAACAUAAAGAAAUACAGAUGAUUUAACGGAGCAAGUGAAACAUCUAUUUUCAAAUGAAUCUGACGAACAUGACCUUGUGGUUCGCCAUUUUAUUGAUAUUCUGUAAAUUGUGGAUUAAACAAAAACAAACACAAAUAUGCCUAUGUAUAUUUUGCUAGUAAUUUGCUUAGUAAGUGCACAGAGAUUCGAUUCAAGCUACUGAGAUCAGAAACAAGGCUAUAGCAGUAUAAUUAAUUAAUCCUCAUGUCAGUAUAAAAUGAUUUCCACAACCGGCAACUUCUACAAUAACGUAGGAGGGAGCUGAUUGACUCAAUGGCUUCAGUGAUGUUUAAAAUCUUUCAUUCAGGACCUUCAACUCAAGCAGAUCUAGAUGAAAUUCGAACCACCAUCAUAGAUUCAUAAAUAAAAAAAUAGACUUUCCUAACUUAUUCAAAUCCAUCAAGAGCCUAUUCCAACAACUCAAAAUCUUAGUGGAGAACAAUACAUUCAGCAUUAAACAUCGAUUAAGAAUAAUAAAAAAAAAGCAACAGAACUUGAAACUUAGGAAAACAUCUCUUAAUCAGUAUGAGUCUUAACAGGUAUACAAUAAAGUUUAAUCCAUAAUUCAGAAUAAGAUAAUAAGUUAGGAUUUACAUACCUAAAGCAAAGAAAUAGAAGGCAAUGACCAAAUAAAGGUCAAGUUUGAGGGCAAAUGAAGCUUGAUUAAAUAGGAGCAGCCAAGCAGUAAUCAGCAGCCUCACGAGUUCAAAUCCAGCAGCUUCUAAACCCGAAAAAUUGUUCCCCAACUCUUUCCUUUAGAUCCUUUUCUAAGUUUUUUUUUGUCUCCCUUUUUGUGUGUGCUUGUGUAUGUACAUGAACGGGAAAGGUGAGAAGAGAAGAGUGUGGGGGGAAGCUGUGACUGAAGAGGGGGCAGAGGAAUGACGCCGACCUCUUGAAAAGGCGGGGGGGGGGGGGGAAUCUAAUGAGGGGUGCGUCGUUUGCUUCUGCUUGGGAUGGUUUUCUAAGGGGUCCGAUUUUUUGUCUUAGAUCUAGCCUCUCAUGUUAGGUCUAGGUCCCUUUUAAUAUAUCUAGGUUUUUAAUUAAGGGGUAGUGGGUUUGGGGCUAAUGGGUUUAAGCAUUUGGGCCACCUCUUUUGGCCCAAUUCCAUACAACCAAAUUCUUCCUUUUCCUUCUUUAUUAAGUUUUUGCAAACUCUAGCCAUUUAAAACUCAAACCUUAAUUAAAUCUAAUUUUAUAUGGCUAGCCUAUUUAUUUAUUUUGCCUAAUGAUGGAUUAAUGCAACUAAUUAAUUAAUUAACAUAAGAAUGCAUUUUUUUUAUUUUUAGUUAUUUAAAAGAUGCAUAUGGCAAUAUAAUUAAGUUCUAAAUGCAAAUUAAACCUAAGAUAGCUUGAAAUUAUAACGUGACAAUUUUUUGUGAUUUUUCUAUGAUUUUAAAAUAUUGAAAAUGCAUGAAAUGCAAUUAAAUAAAAAAACUUCUAAAAUCCCUUAAAAAUUAUUUUUGGUUUAUUUUUAGGAAUUAUUUUCAUGUAAGGCAAAAAUUAGGUGCUCACAGCUGUCCCUCUUUGCUCGGAAACAUGAAGAGUUUUCGAAAAAAGAUAAAGUGAGCAAUUACGAGCAAUUUUUGCCUGUUUAAAACUCUAUUUUGGAAGAAUUUUGAAAAAGUUUGACCGAACCUUGCUUCGGAGGUUGCCUACAUAUCCUUGGCUAUAAAGGAAUCAGGUCGGUGUAGUUCUGGAAAUUUUAGUAGCUGGGACUACCGAGACUGUGAUUUCACUGCUGUUGCUGUCGUUUCUGCUUGUUGAUCUCCUUAUUACACCGAAAUAAAAAAUAAAAAGCUAAACUAGCUAAGUCUAUCAAGUAUGAGUUACAAGAUUCUUGUCUAUAAAUCUUCUGAAGCUCGAUCUUGAGUCUUGACUGGAUGCGGACUCUGAUCUGAAUCUUGAUGCUCAUUAGCUGCGAAUGCUGGUUCAUUUUUCUUCAGCUCUUCGGAUCAAGGCGGGACAUGCAAAGCUUGUGACUUCAAUCACAUCUUGGGCAGUCCGCAUCUUUUCUUCGCUUCUGCACUUAGAGCUUAACUUCUUUUCUUUUCUUUCUUUUUUUUUCUUUUAUUCUAGAUUGGGAAUUCUUAUUUUGUUUAUCUCAAACCUUGUUCCUCACGGUGAAAACCUAUUUAGGCACCAAAGAAAACAAACGAAUGAAAUUUUUCUACCCCAGUUUUCGCUAGGAAAAUUUCGUGAUUAAUUGUAACAAAAUCUAAACUGUUUUUUAUUGAAAACAAUAAAAUCAGUAUUGUGUAUCCUUGGGAAAAGAUAUUAGGUAGUGGAGCCCUAUAUCUAUAUUAAAAUCAACCAGGGAAUGAAGACCCUAUGUUGGAAAAACGACUAGGGAGUAGAGACCCUAUGCCUAAAUAACUUCAACUAAGGAGUGGAGACCCUAUGUUGGAAAAGCGACUAGGGAGUAGAGACCCUAUGUCUACAAUAAAAUCAACUAGGGAGUGGAGACCUUAUGUUAAAAAAGCGACUUGGGAGUGGAGACCCUAUGUCUAAGAUAAAAUCAACUAGGGGGUGGAGAUCCUAUGUUGGAAAGGCGACUAGGGAGUGGAGACCCUAUGUUUAAAAAUAAACUCAACUACGGAGUGGAGACCCUAUGUCUAAAAAUAAACUCAACUAGGGAGUGGAGACCCUAUGUUGGAAAUACGACUAGGGAAUGGAGACCCUAUGUCUAAAAUAAAGUCAACUAGGGAGUGAAGACCCUAUGUUGGAAAGGCGACUAGGGAGUGGAGACCAUAUGUCUAAAAUAAACUCAACUAGGGAGUGUAGACCCUAUGUUAGAAAAGCGACUAGGGAGUGGAGACCCUAUGUUGGGAAAGCGACUAGGGAGUGGAGACCCUAUGUCUAAAAUAAAAUCAACUAGGGAGUGGAUAGCUUAUGNNNNNNNNNNNNNNNNNNNNNNNNNNNNNNNNNNNNNNNNNNNNNNNNNNNNNNNNNNNNNNNNNNUAAAAGUCUACUAGGGAGUGGAGACCCUAUGUUGGAAAGGCGACUAGGGAGUGGAGACCUUAUAUCUAAAAAUAAACUCAACUAGGGAGUGGAGACCCUAUGUUGGAAACACGACUAGGAAGUGGAGACCCUAUGUCUAAAAUAACUUCAAGUAGGGAGUGAAGACCCUAUGCGUAAAAUAAAAUCAACUAGGGAGUGGAGACCCUAUGUUGGAAAAACGUAACUAGAGAUUGGGGACCCUAGGCUACCAUGAUUUUGAAUUUUUCUUCUUUCUUCUUCUUUUUGUUUUAAGAAAAUGAAUAAAAAUGCAGGAAAGAAUUCGGAGGAGACUUCCCUUUUGGAUUGAUUAUUGCUUCAAAGCUGUUUCUAGACCUUGCACAGUUUCUCUUUGGUUGCACCUGCUUCUUGCAAGGUUGCUUUGGAUUGUACCUGUUUCAUGUUUUCAAACAACGAACAAUUGUUAGUUUGAAAUGGUGGUUGGUUUUGUGGCCUUGAUUGUUUCAAUCACUUGAUCUUGGCCCGGCUUCUUUGAUGAAGAUCUCAAUUGCAACUGCUCGUUUCUUGAGGACCGAUUUCAUUUCAGGCCCUGAGAACCUCUGAUUUUUUCCAGAUUUUGCCAUGACAGUUGGUCGGUGGAACUCAACCUUUUUGACUUUAUUCUGCCUUCGUAGGCCUUUCACUUCCGGCUUCUUUCUUCCAACAUCAAUUUCAGAGCAUUUGGGGUACCUUGGCUUUUUCAAAUCUUUGCUGAGACGAUUAGCCACGUGGAACUCAACCUUUUCAACUUCUAAGAGUUUUUAAUUUCAAAACAUCAGCCAUCAUGGCCGGUCGAAGUCGACUUGAUGCCCUUGCGAAGGCUGGGUGUCUUCUUGUAUAUUAGCUCAUGUCAAAUGAGAACCCUGUAAAUCAGUCUUCUCAUCCCUUCUUUGUCUCAGUUGCGGAAUAGAGUUAGACCGAAAGGAAUUCAAAGAAAAAUAAAUAAUGGACAGGAUGAUGAAUUUAAAACAAGUAGUGUCCCUUUCGAGGAAAGGAAGAAGGACUUAUCUGGGGUACAUGCGGACUUCAAUGAACAUGACAUGCCUUUUGGACUGGAUGCAUGAUCUGUGUAAACCGUCCGACUCUGAGAAAUUCAUCACAACUUUUGCCUCAAAAUCGAGAAACCUUGCCAGGACUCUUUCAGUGUCAAUGGUUGUAAGGUAUUCCUUCUUUUCGAUCAACGGCGCCCUUUGCGGGUUUUCGCCAAUUAACCUCUCUCAUUUCUCUUCUCACCGUCGCCUUAUAGUGCUCUUUACGAGUUUUCACAAACAAGACUCUCUCAUCUUCAAUUUCUCUGCUCACUAUCGCCUUACGGUGCCCGUGUGAGUUUUCACCAAUAAAACUCUCUCAUUUUAUUUCUCUCAUCUUGAUUGUAUUAGAUCUAAAUAGUUACGUUCUCCGAUUCUUAAACAUUCUCAUUGAUUGAUCGGAAGGACUUGAACAGGGUUCAGAGUAAAAGGAAUUUGGAUCAAAUUACAACUUUGGAAUCUUUUGGCGAACCGUCACUGAAUCAUUAUAACAUCUGUUCCACUUUCACUUUGGGGGGAAAUUGAAUUUUUGUUUUGGUGUGACUGAACCCCAGAGAGAAGUUGUCUACGUAUCCUUUCGGAAUCAAGUCGAACAUAGUUCAGGAAACUUUCUUUUUGAUUUUCUUUUGUUUUCUGUUUUGUUUUGUUUUCCCUUUCUUUUUCCUCUUUUUUUUUCAUUUCAUUGUCUUUUCUUCCCCCUCUUUUUUGUAUCUUUCUUUUCUUCUCUUUUUCUUUUUGCCCUUUUCUUCCUUUUUUGUAAUUUUUCUUUUUUUCUCUUUUCAUUUUUUUUCAUUUCAUUUUUUAUUUUUUAUUCAAUAACACUUUCAAGUUUCAAAGAGGGUAAUCAAAGAAAAGUAACCAGCUCAAAGGGUUUUCAAAGGAUUGAUAGUGUUUGGGUAACGAAAAUAAAAGCCUUCUUCAUCUCAACCGGAGAACAUUAUUGUUAUAUAGAAGAUCCAACAUAGUACCUUUUGACUGCACCUGGGUUGAGAGUUGUUUCAGGAUCUUUUCCUUCGACAUUUCCCAGGUACGACGCUCUCUUUGUAGUACCUUUGUUACCAUGUAGGAAUCUUUCCAAUUUGGAGCCAAUUUUCCUUUAACUGUUCCAACUCUUUGUUUUAUUUCCUAAAACUUAUCUUCAUUGCAAUCUAAUUCUUGAUUCAUUAUUUCAAUUUCUGACAACAUUUUAGGAUCCGAGCAUGAAGUCCGCAAGCAUGUCAUGUUAUUGAAAUCUGCAUUUGACAGAACAAAAAAGAGAAUAAGAAAAAUGACAAGAUUAAGAAAAGAGACAUUCCUGGACAAUGAAAUAUUAAUUUCAUUUGAUAUUUUUUAUUUUUCGUUUUUUUGUAUUAUUUUUUUCAAUUUUUUGAAGAUAGAAGGGUUUACAUCAGAAAGUAAGACAAUAAAUUAAAAUAUUCGUACCACACUCUAAGAUAAUCCGGACGCAGAAAGGAUAGCAAGACUGGAUACCGAUACUCCCCUCUGAUGGGGAACUUUCAUGCUUGGCGACCAUAUUUUGGCUUUUCUUCUAUCUCGGCAAUGGCUGCAAUGGCCUUCAGUGCCAGAUCAAGUUCCUCAUCUUCACAAAUCAUUCCGACUAUGCAAACCGAAACAAACAGAUGCGAAAGUAGCACGUAAGAUGCAUCAGGAUGGUCUUUUUAAUUUGGGUACACCUAUCCUAGACGGACUCAACCCCUAUGUUGAGUCCCCAAUGUCAAUUGCAUGUGAUGCAAAUAAGCGUUCCUACUAGGGAUCCGGCAUAAGGCUAUGUUAUUCUAGGUUUAAAAACCUGGUGUAUUUGUUCUAGACCUGGCUUACCCGAGCAGACAGCUCGAGCCGAUGGGGGGCAGCAUACUGGUAAUACAGAAGUUUCACCGGCUUUGCACCUUGUCCGAACCUCGUUCUAAAAUUGGGAUAUGACUCUAACAGAAAAUAAGUUACAUGAAGUGUACACUUCCCAGAUGAUUUAGAAGACUCAGAGAGAAGAGGAUUUCGUAACAGUUUAUAUACAAUUCAAACAAUAUCAAAGCGGUAAAAAGCGGCAUUUAGUACAUUAGGCCCAAACAUAUAAAAAUCAGAUAAUAAAUAAAGCCAAGUAUAACAGUCAUUCUAAGUUCGAAUUCUUGAACCCUAAACCAAAUGUUCUGGGUUAUGGUCCUCAGCAGAGUCGCCAGAGCUGUCACACUUCCUUUUGACCACCCGAGGGGGAUAUAAGGGAGUUUUUCUAAUUAAAGUGACAUUAAUCAAAAUGGUAUUAUUUUAUUAAAUUUAUCAGAUUCGCCACUUGGGAUAAUUAUUUGGUGUCCCAAGUCAUCGGUUUAUUUUGAAAUCCCAAAUCGAGGAAAUUUUGACUUUAUUUUUAAAAAGUCUGCGAACCAGAAAUUCUAAGUAAGGAAUUCUGUUAACCCGGGAGAAGGUGUUAAGCAUUUUCGGGUUCCGUGAUUCUAGCACGGUCGCUUAAACUAUUAAUAUUGCCCUAUUAUCUAAUUUGCUACAUAUUUUAAACAUAAUAUGCAUUUUUAAUUUUAUAGCCGCUUUUAAUUACUUUAAACUGCUUUUAGGAUUUAUGGAAUUGUUUCUUAAACAAGUUACGAUUGUCGUACACUUGCCGUUUUGGAACAUACCACAAAUUACGCUACAUGAAAUGUACCUGCGAUUCGCGAUACGUUUAUUUUUAUUAAUAUUUAAAGUUGUUAUGAUCGGGUUACAUGAAAUGCACCCCCGAAUUUUGGAACUAGGCAUCGUAACUAUGUCACGGGAACCGUACCCAUAGUCACGAUGGUAUAUUAAUCGCGCCUAAAGCAACUAGCGCGUGUAAAAAAAGGUUGUUUUUCUAUACUAAGUUAAUAUUAAUGCGAGGGCCAUAGCUUAUGGAUUUUAUUUGUGUAUGGUACACCUCAAAUUAUUUUAAGAAAAGGUUUAUAUAUUUUUUCUUCUAAGGAAAACUAAAGAUGCUCCUACUUUAAUCUAAUUUUGCAUCACAACCAUGUCACGGAACCGUACCCGUAGUUGUAAUAAUUUACAAAAAAAAAUGCCAAGUUCGCAAGGUUUCUCUCCAAAAAUUUCAACUACUGCCUACUUUCCAUUUUAGUGCAUUUCAAACUGUUAACCACUGUCGUAAAUAUAGCAAGUUUUUAUUCCUCCAAUAUUCAAACUAAUAUAAAAUAGUACUCUUUCCAUUGGAUCAACUUUGAGUUGACACCUCUAUACCUUUAUGCUCCUUGAUAAUCAACCAAAGUAAAAAUCGAAAUGAGAUAAAUUUGACUCAAAUCUUUUCCUUUGGUUUGUUCCUUUGGAUUCACAGACCCCGACAUCAGAUAUAGAAGCAGAGGUUCCUUUCUUCUAAGAGUAGAAACAAAAUGAAAGCUCCACUGCUCUCUUUUUCUUUUCACUUCAUUUGUUUUAUUUGUUGGAGGAUUUUGUUGAAAGUGUAUUAUAACAUAAAGAAAUACAGAUGAUUUAGUGGAGCAAGUGAAGCAUCUAUUUUCAAAUGAAUCUGACGGACACGACCAUGUGGUUCGCCAUUUUAUUGAUAUUCUGAAAUUGUGGAUUACACAAAAAAAACACAAACAUGCAUAUGUAUAUUUUGCUAGUAAUUUGCUUAGUAAGUUCACAGAGAUUCAAUUCAAGCUACUGAGAUCAGAAACAAGGUUAUAGCAGUGUAAUUAAUUACUCCUCAUGUCAUUAUAAAAUGAUUUCCACAACCGGCAACUUCUACAAUAACGUAGGAGGGAGCUGAUUGACUCAAUGACUUCAGUGAUGUUUAAAAUCUUUCAUUCAGGACCUUCAACACAAGUAGAUCUAGAUUAAAUUCGAACCACCAUCAUAGAUUCAUAAAUAAAAAAAAAUUAGACUUUCCUAAAUUAUUCAAAUCCAUCAAGACCCUAUUCAAACAACUCAAAAUCUUAGUGGAGAACAAUAUAUUCAGCAUUAAACAUCGAUUAAGAAUAAGAGAAAAAGCAACAGAACUUGAAGCUUAGGAAAACAUCUCUUAAUCAGUAUGAGACUUAGCAGGUAUACAACAAAGUUUCAUCCAUAAUUCAGAAUAAGAGAAUAAGUUAGGAUUUACAUACCUAAAGCAAAGAAAUAUAAGGCAAUGACCAAAUAAAGGUUAAGUUUGAGGGCAAAUGGAGCUUGAUUAAAUAGGAGCAACCAAGCAGUAAUCAGCAGCCUCAUGAGUUCAAAUCCAGCAGCUUCUAAACCCGGAAAAUUGUUCCCCAACUCUUGCCUUUAGAUCCUUUUCUAAGUUUUUUUUCCGUCUCCCUUUUUGUGUGUGCUUGUGUAUGUUCAUGAAUGGGAAAGGUGAGAAGAGGAGAGUGGGGGGGGG
This 11421-nucleotide long non-coding RNA is filed under the name Nicotiana tabacum (common tobacco). RNAcentral's name for it is "long non-coding RNA (NTAB_LNC004305)". The record is from RNAcentral. Lineage: Eukaryota; Viridiplantae; Streptophyta; Magnoliopsida; Solanales; Solanaceae.